GUCUAUAUACGUAUAGCAUAUCAAUAAGCGGAGGAAAAGAAACUAACAAGGAUUCCCCUAGUAACGGCGAGUGAAGCGGGAAGAGCUCAAAUUUGAAAUCUUAAAGGGUUUCCCUUUACGAAUUGUAGUUUAAAGAAGUGUUUUCUGUUGGAGUUUCGGUAAAAGUUCUUUGGAUAGGACAUCAUAGAGGGUGAGAAUCCCGUAUUUGACCGUUACUUUCCAGCUGUGUGAUACACUUUCAAAGAGUCGGAUUGUUUGGGAAUGCAGUCCAAAAUGGGUGGUAAAUUUCAUCUAAAGCUAAAUAUUGGCGAGAGACCGAUAGCGAACAAGUACCGUGAGGGAAAGAUGAAAAGAACUUUGAAAAGAGAGUUAAACAGUACGUGAAAUUGUCAAAAGGGAAGCGUUUGACACCAGUGUUGUUUUCUCGAAAAUCAAUUAAAAAUGGUGGGAUUUUGUGUUGUAUUGACUUUAUCAGCUUUUCUGCACUUUUUUCCUAUCUUUUUUAAUGCACUUUUCGUUUAACAAGUCAACAUCAAUUUCUUUUGUUGUAAAAGAGUCAUUGGAAGGUGGCUUUCUUUUCGGAGAAAGUGUUUAUAGCCUUUGACUUCCUGCAAUCGGAGAGACUUGAGGUCUGCAGCGUAGAUCCUUCGGGGUUAGAUACAUUUGUGCUAAGUUAUAGCCUUUCAUAGACAACUUGUUGACUAUGAUCAGUCAUGUAGCUUACUCGCUUAUGCUAUUUUACCUACGCUUAGGAUGUUGAUCUGUAGUGCGUGCGC
Molecule: ribosomal RNA, 776 nt
Filed under: uncultured Neocallimastigales
Lineage: Eukaryota; Fungi; Neocallimastigomycota; Neocallimastigomycetes; Neocallimastigales
Description: partial large subunit ribosomal RNA
Rfam family: Eukaryotic large subunit ribosomal RNA
Source: RNAcentral